RNAcentral lists this non-coding RNA (24 nucleotides) under Cricetulus griseus (Chinese hamster). Lineage: Eukaryota; Metazoa; Chordata; Mammalia; Rodentia; Cricetidae. The record is from RNAcentral.
AAAGCCAAGAAUCGUGUAAAGCAG